CGUAGGUGGUUUGUUAAGUCGGAUGUGAAAGCCCCGGGCUCAACCUGGGAACUGCACCCGAUACUGGCCGACUAGAGUGCGGGAGAGGGAGGUAGAAUUCCACGUGUAGCGGUGAAAUGCGUAGAUAUGUGGAGGAAUACCGGUGGCGAAGGCGGCCUCCUGGCCUGACACUGACGCUGAGGUGCGAAAGCGUGGGGAGCAAACA
Molecule: ribosomal RNA, 205 nt
Filed under: uncultured bacterium
Lineage: Bacteria
Description: partial 16S ribosomal RNA
Rfam family: Bacterial small subunit ribosomal RNA
Source: RNAcentral